RNAcentral lists this long non-coding RNA (267 nucleotides) under Malus domestica (apple). RNAcentral's name for it is "long non-coding RNA (MDOM_LNC004253)". Lineage: Eukaryota; Viridiplantae; Streptophyta; Magnoliopsida; Rosales; Rosaceae. The record is from RNAcentral.
UACAUGCUCCUCCUCGUCCCCCUCCCUCUCAUCAAUAAUAAUCUCAUUUGAAGAGAAAUUUGAGCGUAAUUUCAGUUGUUAUGGUUGUGGAUGAUUAGGAAGAGCAAAUGUCACUGUUAAUGUCAUGGAUCUUGUAACAAUACUAGUAAUAUAAGGAUGAAGAGCCGCUCUUCUUGUUGGCAAUCGAGAAAUACCGUUAUCAUCAAUGUUGUUCUUGUUUGCUUCCACCAUGAAGAGGGAGAGAAUUUUACCUAUUUCCACUGCAGC